UUCUGAAAUUAAGACCUGAAAAGGAGGGGCACAAAGAAGACAGAGGGGCGAGGUCACCGGAGUUCCAAGCUCCCCAAGGAUGAAGUCGCAGGCUGCUGCAAGCAGAGCAUCUGUGUGUACAUAACAUGUGCAUGUGGCACUGAGGAUGGGACACAGGGCCAUGAGCACGCCAUAAAAGCCACCUACCACUGAGCUACGCUGGAAGGCUGACCGUGCAGCCUCUUUCCUCGGACUCCACCCCUGCAACCAAGAAGGAUUGGUUCUUGGUUCUUUCAUGUCUGUUACUUUCUGGAAGAAUGCAACUAAAGAAGGCAGCUCUCUGGGAGACCCUGUGAAGUAAAUGCCAGAUGCCGCCGACUCUCAUUAUUUCACAAGAUGGAAAGUGCAGCAGGGCCGUUACAGAUGUGACUGAACUGCUCCUCUACACAACCCUGCUAUGACAUGCCACCACCUACCACCCUCCCUGGAAUGUGUUGAUGGAAGCAUCUUGCACUCAAACCUUCAAAACUAUGGGACUCGUACCAUACAUGAGCAGCUGGUGAAAAUCAAAGUCCAGAAGCCAUUGGUAUUCCAGGGGUCCCUUUUGAGGAAUUAACAGAAGAGAACCCCUUGCUGUCCUCUGAAGUUAAAGACCGACUCUUGCUGUGUAAGAUGCCUCUCUUCUGCACCCAGGAAAAGUUUUCAUAUUUUACCCUGUCUUCUCAUUAUUGAACACCAGGUAUUGAAGAAAAUAGGAAACUCUUUAUGGUUUA
Peromyscus maniculatus bairdii (prairie deer mouse) is the source of this 752-nucleotide non-coding RNA. NCBI's taxonomy places the organism in Eukaryota, Metazoa, Chordata, Mammalia, Rodentia, Cricetidae. The record is from RefSeq and is a predicted model, not a curated record.